Molecule: ribosomal RNA, 467 nt
Filed under: uncultured bacterium
Lineage: Bacteria
Description: partial 16S ribosomal RNA
Rfam family: Bacterial small subunit ribosomal RNA
Source: RNAcentral
GACGAACGCUGGCGGCGUGCUUAACACAUGCAAGUCGAACGGAAAGGCCCUGCUUUUGUGGGGUGCUCGAGUGGCGAACGGGUGAGUAACACGUGAGUAACCUGCCCUUGACUUUGGGAUAACUUCAGGAAACUGGGGCUAAUACCGGAUAGGAGCUCCUGCUGCAUGGUGGGGGUUGGAAAGUUUCGGCGGUUGGGGAUGGACUCGCGGCUUAUCAGCUUGUUGGUGGGGUAGUGGCUUACCAAGGCUUUGACGGGUAGCCGGCCUGAGAGGGUGACCGGCCACAGUGGGACUGGGGUACGGCCCAGACUCCUACGGGAGGCAGGGGUGGGGAAUAUUGCACAAUGGGCGGAGGCCUGAUGCAGCAACGCCGCGUGCGGGAUGACGGCCUUCGGGUUGUAAAACGCUUUCGCCUGUGACGAAGCGUGAGUGACGGUAAUAGGUAAAGAAGCACCGGCUAACUACGU